CCUUCCCUCUUUCUUCGUGCCUAAUACAUGCAAGUCGAGCGAACGGACGAGAAGCUUGCUUCUCUGAUGUUAGCGGCGGACGGGUGAGUAACACGUGGAUAACCUACCUAUAAGACUGGGAUAACUUCGGGAAACCGUAGCUAAUACCGGAUAAUAUUUUGAACCGCAUGGUUCAAAAGUGAAAGACGGUCUUGCUGUCACUUAUAGAUGGAUCCGCGCUGCAUUAGCUAGUUGGUAAGGUAACGGCUUACCAAGGCAACGAUGCAUAGCCGACCUGAGAGGGUGAUCGGCCACACUGGAACUGAGACACGGUCCAGACUCCUACGGGAGGCAGCAGUAGGGAAUCUUCCGCAAUGGGCGAAAGCCUGACGGAGCAACGCCGCGUGAGUGAUGAAGGUCUUCGGAUCGUAAAACUCUGUUAUUAGGGAAGAACAUAUGUGUAAGUAACUGUGCACAUCUUGACGGUACCUAAUCAGAAAGCCACGGCUAACUACGUG
This 497-nucleotide ribosomal RNA is filed under the name uncultured bacterium. RNAcentral's name for it is "partial 16S ribosomal RNA". It matches the Rfam family "Bacterial small subunit ribosomal RNA", at positions 36 to 507 of the family's 1533-position model. The record is from RNAcentral.